RNAcentral lists this non-coding RNA (28 nucleotides) under Rattus norvegicus (Norway rat). The record is from RNAcentral. Lineage: Eukaryota; Metazoa; Chordata; Mammalia; Rodentia; Muridae.
UGACAGGGAUAUAUAACAUCUCAACAGU